GAUGAACGCUCGCGGGAGGCCUAACACAUGCAAGCCGAGCGGGAUUUGUUGGUUAGCUUGCUAACUAACAAUGAGAGCGGCGUACGGGUGCGUAGCACGUGUGCAACCUGCCUUUAUCUGGGGGAUAGCCUUUCGAAAGGAAGAUUAAUACCCCAUAACAUAUUGAUUGGCAUCAGUUAAUAUUGAAAGCUCCGGCGGAUAGAGAUGGGCACGCGUAAGAUUAGCUAGUUGGUGAGGUAACGGCUCACCAAGGCUGCGAUCUUUAGGGGGCCUGAGAGGGUGAUCCCCCACACUGGUACUGAGACACGGACCAGACUCCUACGGGAGGCAGCAGUGAGGAAUAUUGGACAAUGGGUGAGAGCCUGAUCCAGCCAUCCCGCGUGAAGGACUAAGGACCUAUGGGUUGUAAACUUCUUUUAUACAGGGAUAAACCUACUCUCGUGAGGGUAGCUGAAGGUACUGUAUGAAUAAGCACCGGCUAACUCCGUG
RNAcentral lists this ribosomal RNA (489 nucleotides) under uncultured bacterium. RNAcentral describes it as "partial 16S ribosomal RNA". It matches the Rfam family "Bacterial small subunit ribosomal RNA", at positions 28 to 507 of the family's 1533-position model. The record is from RNAcentral.